RNAcentral lists this ribosomal RNA (386 nucleotides) under uncultured bacterium. RNAcentral describes it as "bacterial SSU rRNA". It matches the Rfam family "Bacterial small subunit ribosomal RNA", at positions 30 to 399 of the family's 1533-position model. The record is from RNAcentral.
AGUGAACGCUGGCGGCAGGCCUAACACAUGCAAGUCGAGCGGCAGCGGGUCCCCGCGAGGGAUGCCGGCGAGCGGCGGACGGGUGAGGAACACAUCGGAAUCUGCCUGGUUGUGGGGAUAACGUAGGGAAACUUACGCUAAUACCGCAUGCGACCCUGAGUCGACGGACUUGGGGUGAAAGUGAGGGACCUUCGGGCCGUCACGCGACCAGAUGAGCCGAUGUCGGAUUAGCUAGUUGGCGGGGUAACGGCCCGCCAAGGCGACGAUCCGUAGCUGGUCUGAGAGGAUGAUCAGCCACACUGGGACUGAGACACGGCCCAGACUCCUACGGGAGGCAGCAGUGGGAAUCUUGGACAAUGGGCGCAAAGCCUGAUCCAGCCAUGCCG